UGUCGGGCGUCUGUGCAGAACCGUCUGGAGCAGAUGUCGCCCCAAAGCCUCAUGCUGAUAUGGUAAGACUUUCUUUUUCAGAGAUAGUUUAAUCUGGAAUGUGUGAUGCUGAGAUUAAGGGUGUGUGAUUACUAAACCACUACAUGUGAUUGAUUAGUUUGGCACCGCCCUAAUCCCGGUAGUCUGAAUAAGAUAAAAGGGGUGGAAAGAUGCUGGUAACUGUCUCUUGUUACCCUUGCUAUUUGUGUGUGCCAUGUUGUUUCUGCUCUGCCAUACCUGUUUGUCAUCCCUGCCUUGGAGUCGGCCGAUUAUGGGCUGAAACCACUAUGAAAUGUAAGCCAAAUAAACCCCUUCCCCUCUAACUUUGGGUGUUGGGUAUUUUGUCUCAGCAACAAGAGAAAAGUAACUAACACAGGCUCCUAAGCAGAAUAAGGAAAAGGAACACCAAGAGAUGGAAAGGAAUAUGAUACUAACAUCUGACUUUCAACAGCAAUAAUGGGAGCACUGAAAAUAAUAGUAGCUUGAAAUAAUAACAUUCAUGUGACAAGAGAAAAAUCUAUCUAGAAUUAUAUACUUAGCAAAAUAAUUUUUCAAGCAUGAAAACAAUACUUUUCAGAUCAACAAAAGCUAAGAAUUACUACCACCAGAAUUUAACUGAAUGAUUUUCUGGAAGGUAUACUUCAGAAGCUGGAUAUGGUCUUACACUUCAGUAAUCCCAACUACCUAGGAACUGAAGCAAGAGGAUUACUUGAGUUUACAAGUUCUAGACCAGCCUGGGCAACAUAUUGAGAACACAGAAAAAGAAGGAGAAGGAGCUAUAAUUCAGGAAGAAAUAAAAUUAUCUCAGGAGGAAGUUCUGAGGAAAAAUAAGAUUGGCGAGAAAAUAAAGUGGCAAAUAUGAAUAAAUGUAAACAAAUAUCAAGGGCAAAAUAACAGUUUAUCAUGUGUGGGGUUAAAAAAAGGUAAAACCAAAUAAUGGAACAAAGACAUAAAAUAUAAAAAGAUUACUGAAGUUAAAGCAUUAUAACAGUAGGUGUCAGUAAUCUAUUGCAAAGCAAAUAGCUAUAAAACCUUAAAGACGUACAACUACAUUUGUUUAUUGCUCAUACAUCUGAAGUCUGCUUGGAGUAUGUUAGGAAACUCUCCUGUGCUUAGCUAAGCUCACUUAUUAUGUCCAGGAUCAGAUGAUCUAGGACAGACUUUUCUGGGAGUCUUAACUGCUCUGGGUCACUUAGUCACCAGCUGGGUUCCCUGGCCAAGUCCUUAAGUCAUUGGCAGAGAUGCAAAAGGGAAUAAACAAAUGCACAAGCACAUUUUAAGGCUCUUCUUCCAUCUCACUGACCAGAGCAAAUCACAUGGCUGAGGGCAGAGUGAUAGUAGAAUAGAACUAUGAAGGUUUAUAGCAAAAGG
Molecule: long non-coding RNA, 1410 nt
Filed under: Heterocephalus glaber (naked mole-rat)
Lineage: Eukaryota; Metazoa; Chordata; Mammalia; Rodentia; Bathyergidae
Description: lncRNA (ENSHGLG00000032373.1)
Source: RNAcentral